RNAcentral lists this non-coding RNA (168 nucleotides) under bovine gut metagenome. The record is from RNAcentral.
GAUAAGAUUUCGGUGCUCCCAAAAGGAGAGAAUAGGGAAACGGGUGAGAUUCCCGUGCGAUCCCGUCGCUGUGAUCGGGGAGUCUGCAGCAAUUGUGCCACUGGCCGUUGGCCGGGAAGGCUGCUGCGGGCGCGGAUCCGUAAGCCAGAAGACCUGCCGCAGUCUUUA